GAUGAAGAACGUAGCGAAAUGCGAUAAGUAAUGCGAAUUGCAGAAUUCAGUGAGUCAUCGAAUCUUUGAACGCACAUUGCGCCCUGUGGUAUUCCGCAGGGCAUGCCUGUUCGAGCGUCAUUUCAACCCUCAAGCUCUGCUUGGUGUUGGGCCCUGCCCGCUGCGGCCGGCCCUAAAGACAGUGGCGGUGCCGCUUGGCCCUGAGCGUAGUACAUCUCUCGCUCCAGUGCCCGGUGGUAGCCUGCCAGAACCCCAACUCUCGUGGUUGACCUCGGAUCAGGUAGGGAUACCCGCUGAACUUAAGCAUAUCAAUAAGCGGAGGA
RNAcentral lists this unclassified non-coding RNA (323 nucleotides) under soil metagenome. Its description in RNAcentral is "partial contains 5.8S ribosomal RNA, internal transcribed spacer 2, and large subunit ribosomal RNA". The stretch from base 1 to 120 matches the Rfam family "5.8S ribosomal RNA", at positions 35 to 154 of the family's 154-position model. The record is from RNAcentral.